AAAUUAUUCAGCUGCUUUUAAACGAGUUUAGUCUAGAGAGUUCUACCUGGGAUAAGAAUAUUUGUAGUGUCUUUAAGAAGUUGUUCGUUGACUAUAAACCAUAUUACCGUGAAGUUUUGUAACCUCCGCACAUAGAUAUAUUAAUAUCUCAUACUAAAAUACUAAAACCAUGUAUCUCAAGUCACUUUAUUUUUAUACCGCUGAUAAAAAAAUCAUCCACUGUUAUUUUAACCAUUUCAAGUACUCUACCGUUAUAAACCAAUUGGUUCAUGCCAAUUUUCAACGUGGAUGUGAUUAUAUAGAAAUUAAUGUCAACUGGCUUACCUCAUAUACUAUGAAUUCCAUCAAGCUAUGGUGUACUCAGCAUCGUUUAGACAUCAAAAAUAAUAUCCAUACUUAUUCUAUACCAGCUUGGGACUAUAGUUUCUUUGAUGUUGACAUAUCAGUUUUAGAAAAUAUAAUGUUUGGAGCUUACCAUUUGGGACUCGAACACAUGUUAUGUAUGGCAAUUAAAUAUAUUAUAUUUAAGAGAACCAGCUUACGUUACCAAUUGCCUUUCAAUACAUCAACGAUGAACUAUGAACACCACUUCCAACUUCUCAAUAAUGAAAAAUGUCAAUGGAAAAAAAACUACCAAAAAUACCAGGAUUUGUCUAAGUUAUUGGAAAAAAUAUUGGCUUUUCCAAUGUCUGAUGAAUUGAAAACUGUUUGCCAAAUUCUACUCAAGUUCGAGUAAGAACCAACAGUAAUCAUCAUCAAUUCAAUUACAGUAAUUACUAAUAAAUGAUACACUGGUGCCGUGUUUUAUACUUUAAGUACAUAACGUCAAAAAUUUUCGAGUACAAGAUUUUGUGAAUAAUGUGAAUUUACUCCCCGGCAAGAACACAUGCAAAAAUCAACACAUAUAUAUUAUAUAUAUAU
Long non-coding RNA from Teleopsis dalmanni, 921 nucleotides. RefSeq lists it as uncharacterized. The transcript has 3 exons. Lineage: Eukaryota; Metazoa; Arthropoda; Insecta; Diptera; Diopsidae. The record is from RefSeq and is a predicted model, not a curated record.